Non-coding RNA from Ceratotherium simum simum (southern white rhinoceros), 367 nucleotides. NCBI's taxonomy places the organism in Eukaryota, Metazoa, Chordata, Mammalia, Perissodactyla, Rhinocerotidae. The record is from RefSeq and is a predicted model, not a curated record.
AAAAUGAAGGGUUUGAUGAGCGAUUCUCAGCUCAAUGCCCCAAAAACUCACCUUGCAGCCUAGAAAUCCAGUCCUCUGAACUAGGAGACUCGGCACUGUAUUUCUGCGCCAGCAGCCAAUCCACAGCGUUGAAAUGGUAGCUCCUCUUAGUGCACAAACUCAUCAUGGACCCAGCUCAGGAAGCAGGUGAUGUAUGAGGUAGGAAGGAAGUAACAGAAAUUAACUGGGGCUAGCUUCAGUCACAGUGGAACUUAGUACAAGGCUAAAGGGUAUUUAGCAGCAGUCAAGGAGUGAUGGACAGACAAUUCUGGCAAAAAACACCACUUAACCAGGGUCUGGAAUGACUGCCUCUCCAGUUCUCACGUUU